UACAGAGGUCCCGAGCGUUGUUCGGAUUUAUUGGGCGUAAAGGGUGCGUAGGCGGCGGAGUAAGUUGGGUGUGAAAUCCCGGGGCUUAACCUCGGAAUGGCAUUCAAUACUGCUUCGCUCGAGUACUGGAGAGGAGGCUGGAAUUUACGGUGUAGCAGUGAAAUGCGUAGAUAUCGUAAGGAAGACCAGUGGCGAAGGCGGGUCUCUGGGCCGAUACUGACGCUGAGGAGCGAAAGCGUGGGGAGCGAACAGG
RNAcentral lists this ribosomal RNA (253 nucleotides) under uncultured bacterium. RNAcentral describes it as "partial 16S ribosomal RNA". It matches the Rfam family "Bacterial small subunit ribosomal RNA", at positions 524 to 776 of the family's 1533-position model. The record is from RNAcentral.